CCCAGUUUGAGGAACACAGAUCACAGGUCAUCCCUCCCUCCUAUUCAACUCCAAACAUAAGCUACCUGGACAAGUUUAUCCAGGAAGACAAGCCAGAUUCAUUCUUUUGAAGCUUUAGGAGCUGAGAAAUAUCGAGCCUAGACAGGGUUUCUCUUCUAUAACUUCCCAUACCGUAGAAUCGUAAGAACAUCUCCCACACUGAGGACAGCUCAAAGACAAGUUGGGCAUAUGGCAGGACUUGUCUACAUGGUGUCCCUAGAAUGGGGUCUUCAAUAGAAAAAGGACCAUCCAUACUUUUAGUCCCAAUCUUUAGCACCAGUCUGUCACAGGAGCAAUGUAUGGCACUAAGGUUCUUGGCCUCCUUCUCUCCACUGGAUACCGCCGCCUCCUCAAAACAAGCGAGGAGCGAUGUGGACCCAUGCAGAGGAAGCCUCCGGAGAUACAAAAUUUCAUUCCCAAGUCCAAAUCAAUCUCAAGUCCAAAAAAGUCAAUUUAUAGCAAGGUGCCAAUCCACCAGAUUUAAGGAGAUCGUCUUCCCUCUGGAGGGCACGGGCCUGUAAACGGUGAGGUCAGGUAAUGCACAGCUUCCAUCAGACUUGAAGCACUUAAAGUUCAGAGCCAGAAGGAGAAUUUGAGCUGGAAAUCUCUGAAGGACUCUUUCCUGGCCAGUGAGGACUUAUGUGCCACUGACCUAUCCUAAUGCUUGCAACUGGCAAGCAGGAGCCUGGGAGAUUACUCUAGCAACACAAGGCAGCUUCAGCUCUGCUUAUGCAAGGAGAGCACAAGGAAGCCUACUAUUAGUGGGACACUGGACAGCCCCAGGCACAAGAGGGACAGUGCUGCUGUGGAAGAGGUACUCAGCUCCACAGAAGCCUUCACAACUGAACCCUAUAGUGCCUGCCACCCUUCAAAUCUUAGUUCUCCACCCCAAAAAUAGGCAACCUGGGCAUUGGACAAAGUCCAGGUGAGAGGCCCACGGGUUCUCACGAUGAGAUGCAAUUUUCCCUUCCUCCCUCCCUCCCUGUGACUAACUCUUCAAGUUGUCUUCCUACUUAGUUAGGAAAAGUAGGAAAAAAAAAAGAUUUUUCUUCCCUGUUGGGCUGGACGCUUCUCUUAGAGACCCUGGACCCCUCAUAUCCUCAGCUCACAAAGGACAAGACACUCAAGUAUGGGGAGAGCCUAAAAACUAAUGUCCCCAACUCCUGGCCAGCAGCCGGGUUGCGGGUGGGGCAGGCUGAAGCAACAGGAACCAGUUCAAGUCCUCUUGCAAAAAAAAAAAAAAAAAAAAAAAAAAAAAAAAGAAUAUUAAAUGGAGAAAUGACAACAGAAAGUAAAGUUGAGGAAGUGGAAAAAUAUUGACAUACCUAGGGAUUACCAACUACAGCUACAUCUCUGCAACUGCAGUUAUGAUUGGAUAGGAGAAAGACAGUUUGAGCACUCUUUCCUAUCUUUUUCAUCAAAUGAGUCAAUUUUUCCAUUUACCAUGUAAGUUUGUAAACAUUACUUGUGACCAAAUGGCACCUGUUAAUUGAUUAAAGAAUUUUCUACUGCCAGACAUUUUGGGCAGUGUAUUUUGUAAUUCUUAACAUAAG
Chinchilla lanigera (long-tailed chinchilla) is the source of this 1592-nucleotide long non-coding RNA. The record is from Ensembl. Lineage: Eukaryota; Metazoa; Chordata; Mammalia; Rodentia; Chinchillidae.